GCGACCAUAGCUCAGGUGGGAGAGCGCUACCUUGACAUGGUAGAGGUCAGAGGUUCGAUCCCUCUUGGUCGCACCA
Molecule: transfer RNA, 76 nt
Filed under: Flavobacteriaceae bacterium
Lineage: Bacteria; Pseudomonadati; Bacteroidota; Flavobacteriia; Flavobacteriales; Flavobacteriaceae
Also listed under: 3 other names
Description: tRNA-Val
Rfam family: tRNA
About the family: Transfer RNA (tRNA) molecules are approximately 80 nucleotides in length. Their secondary structure includes four short double-helical elements and three loops (D, anti-codon, and T loops).
Source: RNAcentral